This 565-nucleotide long non-coding RNA is filed under the name Homo sapiens (human). Its description in RNAcentral is "HSALNT0277098". The record is from RNAcentral. Lineage: Eukaryota; Metazoa; Chordata; Mammalia; Primates; Hominidae.
GUGCCCAGCCCUCCAGUUUUUGAUCCUGGGACUGACUCUUCCCCAGUGAGAAUGUCAAGGGUGCCUGCCCACCUCUGGGAAUUCCCGUCCCUCUGUUCAGAAUGCUGCCCUCACUUGGACCCACACAUAGAGCUCCUUCCUGUCACCCAGCUCUCAACUUAGUCGACACUGCUCAAUGUCAACUAAUGCAAAAAGCCCCCUCACCCUCUCCUGUGGCCUUGUGUCCUCUGCACUGCUAAGCACGAGCUGGACUCUCCUCCCUCCCUCUCUUCCCUAUGCUGCUGUGUAUAGGUUCCUGUUUGUCUCUCCACUGAGGGCAGGGACUCUGAAGGACCAGUUCAUGGCAUCCCAUGUCUAGAAAACUGCUCAACACAUUACAGGAAUUCAAGAAAGAAGUUUGUCAAAUGAAGGAACUUUCUAACAUUCUGAACCAACUAACGACGGGCAUGGACCACUUGGUGGUAGUGAGCUCCCUGCCAUUGGUGGUAUUUAAGCAGUAGUUGGAUGACACUCGGAGGGUGCAUUAGAGAGACAAACUCAGGAGGUACGGUUCAAGCUUAGGGCA